Molecule: ribosomal RNA, 892 nt
Filed under: Streptomyces sp.
Lineage: Bacteria; Bacillati; Actinomycetota; Actinomycetes; Kitasatosporales; Streptomycetaceae
Description: bacterial SSU rRNA
Rfam family: Bacterial small subunit ribosomal RNA
Source: RNAcentral
AGAGUUUGAUCCUGGCUCAGACGAACGCUGGCGGCGUGCUUAACACAUGCAAGUCGAACGAUGAAGCCCUUCGGGGUGGAUUAGUGGCGAACGGGUGAGUAACACGUGGGCAAUCUGCCCUUCACUCUGGGACAAGCCCUGGAAACGGGGUCUAAUACCGGAUACCACUCCUGCCUGCAUGGGCGGGGGUUGAAAGCUCCGGCGGUGAAGGAUGAGCCCGCGGCCUAUCAGCUUGUUGGUGGGGUAAUGGCCCACCAAGGCGACGACGGGUAGCCGGCCUGAGAGGGCGACCGGCCACACUGGGACUGAGACACGGCCCAGACUCCUACGGGAGGCAGCAGUGGGGAAUAUUGCACAAUGGGCGAAAGCCUGAUGCAGCGACGCCGCGUGAGGGAUGACGGCCUUCGGGUUGUAAACCUCUUUCAGCAGGGAAGAAGCGAAAGUGACGGUACCUGCAGAAGAAGCGCCGGCUAACUACGUGCCAGCAGCCGCGGUAAUACGUAGGGCGCAAGCGUUGUCCGGAAUUAUUGGGCGUAAAGAGCUCGUAGGCGGCUUGUCACGUCGGAUGUGAAAGCCCGAGGCUUAACCUCGGGUCUGCAUUCGAUACGGGCUAGCUAGAGUGUGGUAGGGGAGAUCGGAAUUCCUGGUGUAGCGGUGAAAUGCGCAGAUAUCAGGAGGAACACCGGUGGCGAAGGCGGAUCUCUGGGCCAUUACUGACGCUGAGGAGCGAAAGCGUGGGGAGCGAACAGGAUUAGAUACCCUGGUAGUCCACGCCGUAAACGUUGGGAACUAGGUGUUGGCGACAUUCCACGUCGUCGGUGCCGCAGCUAACGCAUUAAGUUCCCCGCCUGGGGAGUACGGCCGCAAGGCUAAAACUCAAAGGAAUUGACGG